RNAcentral lists this ribosomal RNA (468 nucleotides) under uncultured bacterium. RNAcentral describes it as "partial 16S ribosomal RNA". It matches the Rfam family "Bacterial small subunit ribosomal RNA", at positions 28 to 507 of the family's 1533-position model. The record is from RNAcentral.
GACGAACGCUGGCGGCGUGCUUAACACAUGCAAGUCGAACGGAAAGGCCCUGCUUUUGUGGGGUGCUCGAGGGGCGAACGAGUGAGUAACACGUGAGUAACCUGCCCUUGACUUUAGGAUAACUUCAGGAAACUGGGGCUAAUACCGGAUAGGAGCUCCGGCUGCAUGGUGGGGGUUGGAAAGUUUCGGCGGUUGGGGAUGGACCCGCGGCUUAUCAGCUUGUUGGUGGGGGAGUGGCUUACCAAGGCGUUGACGGGUAGCCGGCCUGAGAGGGUGACCGGCCACAUUGGGACUGAGAUCCGGCCCCGACUCCUACGGGAGGCAGCAGUGGGGAAUAUUGCACCAUGGGCGGAAGCCUGAUGCAGCAACGCCGCGUGCGGGAUGACGGCCCUCGGGUUGUAAACCGCUUUCGCCUGUGACGAAGCGUGAGUGACGGUAAUGGGUAAAGCAGCCCCGGCUAGCUACGUG